UACUGUUGGUGACUUAUGGUUCUGUUGGUGACUUUGAGUUCAGACAACAGUGCGUUCAGUUGACCUUGGGUUUUCAAGUUGGAUUUGGGUUCUGAGUUUAGACUGAAGCUUCGACUUUGUGAUCAGAAUUGCACAACCAGCCAGUCCAGUCUGCAUCAUGUGCAUCAUAGCAUAGUUAUUUUUCAAAAGAAACGCAAUAAAAAAUUGAAAAAAAAAAUCAGAAAAAAAAAGAAAAAAGAGAAAAAAAACUAACC
This 254-nucleotide long non-coding RNA is filed under the name Lathyrus oleraceus (garden pea). RNAcentral's name for it is "Pisum sativum (pea) long non-coding RNA (PSAT_LNC009866)". The record is from RNAcentral. Lineage: Eukaryota; Viridiplantae; Streptophyta; Magnoliopsida; Fabales; Fabaceae.